Molecule: non-coding RNA, 792 nt
Filed under: Drosophila teissieri
Lineage: Eukaryota; Metazoa; Arthropoda; Insecta; Diptera; Drosophilidae
Source: RNAcentral
UAAAAGUUUUAUUUUGGCUUAAAAAUUUGUUAUUAGUUUGAUUUAUAUGUAAAUUUUUGUGUGAAUUUAUAUUUAUUUAAAAAAUAAAUAUAUUAUAAAUUAUUUUACUCGCAGUAAUUAAUAUUAUUAAUUAAAGAAAUUUAGAAAUAGCAAUAUUAAAAAGUAUUGACCAAAUUGGUGCCAGCAGUCGCGGUUAUACCAAUAAUACAAAUAAAUUUUUUUUAGUAUGAAUUAAAUUGAUUUAUUUAAAAAUAAAAUUAAAUAUAUUAAGUGAAAUUUUAUAUUUAAAUUAUUUUAUAAAAUAAUAAUUGAAGUUAAAAAAUUUUAAUAAAAAACUAGGAUUAGAUACCCUAUUAUUUAAAAUGUAAAUAAAUUGCUAAAGUAGUAAUAGUUAUGUUCUUGAAACUUAAAAAAUUUGGCGGUAUUUUAGUCUAUCCAGAGGAACCUGUUUUGUAAUCGAUAAUCCACGAUGGACCUUACUUAAAUUUGUAAUCAGUUUAUAUACCGUCGUUAUCAGAAUAUUUUAUAAGAAUAAUAAUAUUCAAUAAUUUUAAUAAAAAUUUAUAUCAGAUCAAGGUGUAGCUUAUAUUUAAGUAAUAAUGGGUUACAAUAAAUUUAUUUAAACGGAUAAAAUUAUGAAAAAAUUUUUGAAGGUGGAUUUGGUAGUAAAAUUAUAAAGAUUAAUAAUUUGAUUUUAGCUCUAAAAUAUGUACACAUCGCCCGUCGCUCUUAUUAUUAAGGUAAGAUAAGUCGUAACAUAGUAGAUGUACUGGAAAGUGUAUCUAGAAUGAC